CGUUUUGUGUACUAUUGUAUUGUAUUUGUCUAUUAUAUUCGGGUGCGUGCAGAGAUCGCCAAGCUAGAAAACGGUUGACAUUUUCUUCAUUAUGAACUAGAACUAUUUUCGACCUUGGUGCCUUAUUUUUGUUAAAAUCUAAACACUGCGACGUGUUUUCAAAAUCUUUGUUCCCAUAAAACUUCAUUUCAUCAAGGUCUCUUUUCAGAAUAUCAGCCAUCUGUCUGGCACAGGAUAACAAAUCAAUAUUUUAGUAAAUUUAAGUUGUGUGGUAAUUCUUAGUACAUUUGGGUAAAUUAAUCUUAUCUUUGUGCCGCAUAAGCAUCUCUAUAAUUCAACACAUUCCUGACCCACGACAUUAUAUAUUUUAUGCAUUUCAUGCGCUUCUUUUUAUCACAAUCCAAACCGGUUAGUAACCGUUGUACUUUACACGUCUGAAGACGAAUAUUUGCGUGAAACAUUUUUAUUUCUGGAAAUCAAUCUGAAAUCUACAACAGUCCUUUCCCGAAAGUCGGGCUGGACCUUUACUUUUAUGUGCAUUCGGGAUUUACACAAAUUGUAACCCGAAUAAUUCAGUCGUAUUAUUCAGCUAAUGUACGAAUGCUACAUUUCUCAUGUGGGAGAAAAUCGGACAUGGAAAGGGCUUGAAUUAUUCGAGUUACUCAAAUUGAAACUCUGGAAUAUAUUUCUAGCUGUACGGAAUUCGCGGAAACAAAUGAUUGUUUUUUCGGCAUUACGGUAUUGAAUCAAUAUGAGAGAUACCAAUUUUUUCUUUUAACAAAUUCGAAUACCAGUCAGUUUAUAGGACUUAAGUUUGAAAUAGGGGCGGUAAUCCAUUCAUUUUAUCCAAUCAUUUUUUUUUUGGUGGGGGGGGGGUCAACAUUGAUAGUCAAAAAGCCUUGAAAUAUUCGAUAAAAAACGUUGAAUGUAAAUUAUAUGAACUCCAAAGUCUCAUAUUAUAAGACUAAUCUAGUAAACCACAGGCUUCUCAAUUCUUGUAUGAUCAUGAACUAGGGGAAAACCUAGAGCUGACCGAGUGCGAAAUCCUCAUGGAUAAUCAUCGAGGUCGAUAAACACC
RNAcentral lists this long non-coding RNA (1078 nucleotides) under Mytilus galloprovincialis (Mediterranean mussel). Lineage: Eukaryota; Metazoa; Mollusca; Bivalvia; Mytilida; Mytilidae. The record is from RNAcentral.